RNAcentral lists this ribosomal RNA (432 nucleotides) under uncultured bacterium. Its description in RNAcentral is "bacterial SSU rRNA". It matches the Rfam family "Bacterial small subunit ribosomal RNA", at positions 29 to 507 of the family's 1533-position model. The record is from RNAcentral.
AACGAACGCUGGCGGCAUGCCUAACACAUGCAAGUCGAACGAGACCUUCGGGUCUAGUGGCGCACGGGUGCGUAACGCGUGGGAAUCUGCCCUUUGCUUCGGAAUAACAGUUAGAAAUGACUGCUAAUACCGGAUGAUGUCUUCGGACCAAAGAUUUAUCGGCAAAGGAUGAGCCCGCGUAGGAUUAGGUAGUUGGUGGGGUAAAGGCCUACCAAGCCGACGAUCCUUAGCUGGUCUGAGAGGAUGAUCAGCCACACUGGGACUGAGACACGGCCCAGACUCCUACGGGAGGCAGCAGUGGGGAAUAUUGGACAAUGGGCGAAAGCCUGAUCCAGCAAUGCCGCGUGAGUGAUGAAGGCCUUCGGUCGUAAGCUCUUUUACCUAGGGAUGAUAAUGACAGUACCUGGAGAAUAAGCUCCGGCUAACUCCGUG